ACGCUCGACACCUACGGCAGGCAGCAGUGGGGAAUAUUGCACAAUGGGGGAAACCCUGAUGCAGCGACGCCGCGUGAAGGAUGAAGUAUUUCGGUAUGUAAACUUCUAUCAGCAGGGAAGAAAGUGACGGUACCUGACUAAGAAGCCCCGGCUAACUACGUGCCAGCACGCCGGUACGGUAAUCGUGAGGCGGGCGUGGACGAAGGC
This 207-nucleotide ribosomal RNA is filed under the name uncultured bacterium. RNAcentral describes it as "partial 16S ribosomal RNA". It matches the Rfam family "Bacterial small subunit ribosomal RNA", at positions 326 to 545 of the family's 1533-position model. The record is from RNAcentral.